GGGGCCGUAACGGUUUCGACAGGUUGGCGAAAGCUAACCCGUGAUACAGGUCGAGAGGGAGUCAACUCUCGGAAAUCCAGGCUCAAAACAAAAAAGUAACUGCGAAUAACAUCGUAAAAUUUGAGCGCCAGGCGGUAUUAGCCUAGGUCUAAACUAGACUUGCUCGCUUUUAGUUUGACUCCGUUAAGGACUAAAAGUUUAACCCCAACGGAUGCAUCUUUUAUUUGCCUCUGGUCAAUUAAAAGGUAAAGACUUUACUAGAGAAUCCCGCCAUCAGGGAUAAGAGAUGGUUCCCGCUCUGAGGAUCAGAAGAGCUAAACCUGUGAAUGAGCGGAAAGUCAAUAUCCAGUCUGGACAGCAGUUCGACUCUGCUCGGCUCCAUAA
Non-coding RNA from Stanieria cyanosphaera PCC 7437, 384 nucleotides. It matches the Rfam family "transfer-messenger RNA". Rfam says of the family: Bacterial tmRNA, also known as 10Sa RNA or SsrA, is named for its dual tRNA and mRNA-like properties. Its role is to liberate the mRNA from a stalled ribosome. Lineage: Bacteria; Bacillati; Cyanobacteriota; Cyanophyceae; Pleurocapsales; Dermocarpellaceae. The record is from Rfam.